UUAAGAAAAUACUUAUAAAAUAAAAAAACUUAAGUUAAAAUAAUUCUACUAAUAAAUUAAAAUAAGAAUAUCUUUGGUUGGGGCAACCACGAAGAAAAAAAAACCUUCGUUCAAAAAAAGAAAUAUACUAAUUUAAAAGCUUAAAAAGAAAAAAGAUCCAGAAAUACUGAUCAAAGAAAAAAGUUACCGCAGGGAUAACAGCGUUAUUCUCUUUAAGAGCCCAUAUUGACAAGAGAGUUUGCGACCUCGAUGUUGGACCGGGGCAUCCAAGAGGUGUAGCAGCCUCUAAAGGUAGGUCUGUUCGACCUUUAAAGCCCUACGCGAUCUGAGUUCAGACCGACGCUUGU
Molecule: ribosomal RNA, 347 nt
Filed under: Stephanometra indica
Lineage: Eukaryota; Metazoa; Echinodermata; Crinoidea; Comatulida; Stephanometridae
Description: partial 16S ribosomal RNA
Rfam family: Bacterial large subunit ribosomal RNA (bases 194-347)
Source: RNAcentral